Molecule: long non-coding RNA, 972 nt
Filed under: Anas platyrhynchos platyrhynchos (common mallard)
Lineage: Eukaryota; Metazoa; Chordata; Aves; Anseriformes; Anatidae
Description: lncRNA (ENSAPLG00000025317.1)
Source: RNAcentral
CUCGUGCGUUGCACACUCGUGCACGGCCUUGCACACUCAUGCAUCCCUUCUCCUGCACCCCCCUUUUGCCCCCCCCCCCCCCGACAUGCCCCCCAUAAAAGAGAGACGGGGGGGGGGGGGGGGCACGCUUGCAAACAGCACGUGCAGGUGUGCAAACGCGCGUGCAAGGGGAUGCACAAGUGGGUGCAGGGGUUGCACGAGGGUAGCCGGGUGAGGGUGCUGGUGCAAGGGCUGCACACGUGGGUGCAAGGCGGUGCAGGUGCAUGCACAGGGUGCACACGGGUGCAUGCAGGGGGCUGCACACGUGGGUGCAAAGGGGGGGCUGGUGCAUGCACAGAGGUGCAGGUGCAUGCACAGGGUGCACACACGGGGUUGCACACACACAUGCAAAGGGGUGUGAGCACAUGCAAGGUGUGCACACAAGUGCAGGGGGUGCGGGUGCAUGCACAGGGUGCACACGGGUACGUGUAUGGGGUUGCACACAUGGGUGCAAAGGGGUGCGAGUGUGUGCACACAGGGGCAGGGGGUGCAGGUGCAUGUACAUGGGUGUACACGAGGGGUUGCACACACACAUGCAAAGGGGUGUGAGUGCAUGCAAAGUGUGCACACGGAUGCAGGUGCAUGCACAUGGGUUGCACACACAAGUGCAAUGGUGUGCAAGUGCAUGCACGGUGCGCACACGGGUGCAGGAGGCACAGGGCCAUAGAUGCACACGUGCAAGGGGUGCAAACGUGUGCAAGCGGUGCAGGUGCACGCAUCGGGGUGCACGUGGGUGCAGGUGCAUGUGAGGAAGCACACCCAUGCAGGUGCACACGCGUGCAGGUGGGUGCAGGUGCACGCAGCAGGGUGCACACACACACAGGGGGGUGCACGUGGGUGCAGGGGGGGCGCACACGGACGCGGGUGCAUGCAGGGGGUGCAGGCGUGCAAGGAGUGCGGGUGCAUACAGGGGGUGCAGGUGCAUACAAGGGG